RNAcentral lists this ribosomal RNA (253 nucleotides) under uncultured bacterium. Its description in RNAcentral is "partial 16S ribosomal RNA". It matches the Rfam family "Bacterial small subunit ribosomal RNA", at positions 524 to 776 of the family's 1533-position model. The record is from RNAcentral.
UACGUAGGGGGCAAGCGUUAUCCGGAUUUACUGGGCGUAAAGCGCACGUAGGCGGCUUUGUAAGUUAGAGGUGAAAGCCCAGGGCUCAACCCUGGAAUUGCCUUUAAGACUGCAUCGCUUGAACAUCGGAGAGGUAAGUGGAAUUCCGAGUGUAGAGGUGAAAUUCGUAGAUAUUCGGAAGAACACCAGUGGCGAAGGCGACUUACUGGACGAUUGUUGACGCUGAGGUGCGAAAGCGUGGGGAGCAAACAGG